Molecule: long non-coding RNA, 6182 nt
Filed under: Cicer arietinum (chickpea)
Lineage: Eukaryota; Viridiplantae; Streptophyta; Magnoliopsida; Fabales; Fabaceae
Description: long non-coding RNA (CARI_LNC001110)
Source: RNAcentral
ACGGAGCCUAAGAACAAGGUGAAGUGUAGAUUCCUUCUGAAUAUUAUAAUCAGCAAGAGUGCGUCCAUCUUCAAGUUGUUUACCAGCAAAAAUAAGACGCUGUUGAUCCGGUGGAAUUCCCUCCUUAUCUUGAAUCUUCGCUUUCACAUUAUCAAUCGUAUCAGAACUCUCCACCUCCAAAGUAAUCGUCUUCCCCGUUAGCGUCUUCACAAAAAUCUGCAUUCCACCACGGAGCCUAAGAACAAGAUGAAGCGUAGACUCUUUCUGAAUAUUAUAAUCUGCAAGUGUUCUCCCGUCUUCUAACUGUUUUCCGGCGAAGAUCAACCGCUGCUGAUCCGGUGGAAUUCCUUCUUUGUCUUGGAUUUUGGCUUUCACGUUGUCGAUUGUGUCGGAGGAUUCUACUUCUAGCGUUAUGGUUUUGCCGGUUAGGGUUUUGACGAAGAUCUGCAUGAUGAUAAAUUUGUAGUGAUAUAAAAGUAGAUAGAAGAGAGAGUCUUUGAUGUUCAAAUUUUGAGACUUGUGAUUGAUGAAUAUUGAAGGAGAGGGGUUGUUAAUUUAUAAGAGGUUAUAGAAGAAUCUAGAAACAUGCAACUAGGAAGAUAAGUAAGGAAUUUUGUUUCGAGGUGGGUCUGGAAUAAAGAAACGAGUACUACCAAGCUUGCACGAAACUUCCCGGCAUUCUUUGUUUCGAAAACACGGAUGCAAUUCAUCACAAACCCAUGGCCUCGAGAAACAUCCCGAAUAGAAAACAUCAUAUACAAAAUAGGACGAAAAUAAAUUAAACAUCAUAUAAAUUUGGAAGCUUAAGCGAUAUAAAUUUAGUUUAGCAUUUAACGUAAGUUUCUUUUGAAAAUGACCACAGUUUGAUAUUUUGCUAAGUACUAGUCCAUCCGACAAAAUCAAAAUAUUAUUAUUAGGUGGGAUAUCACGUGACAUUUAUAUGUGUUUUUAGUGGUAAUUAUAUUAUUUUGUGUAUUAGACAAUUAUAAUAUUUUUUAUUGUCUUGAUUAUGUUGGAUUCGAACGUGAAUAAAUAAGUCAUAUUGAAAAAUAAUGAGUUAAAUAUUUAAUAUAAUGUUAAAAUAUUUUCCUGCAUUGAAGUUUUUGUCUAAUUGUUGCUAUCAAAGGUGUAAGGGUAACAAACUUUUAUUUUUGAGAUUCGUUAUUUAUUAUUAUUAGAGUUUUGAAUAAUUUUUAUAAAUAUUUAUCCAUAAUGGGCUAUAGAUUGUGAUGGGCCUUUAAACAGACUUUUUUUAUUUAUAAUCCUUUUUUAUUGACCAAAAUGUCACACUCCGUAUAUAAACUAUAAAAAUGUCCUAUUUUUUUGUCUGAGCUAUAACUUGAAGAUGCACGAUGUGAAGGCAAAAGUGUUUGUCUCUGGAUAGAUGGUUGCAUUCCGGGGAUGCGAGUACUGCUAUAUUUUUUUUUUUUUGCUAUUUUAUAAAUAAUUUUGUUAAUUAUUAAUUCUAUUUAUUAUUAUUUAAUAAAUUAUAAAUAAUUUACAUCAAAUUCAUAUUUUAUUAUUAUUAUUAUUUUCAUUAAUUGUUAUUUAUUAGAUAAAAAAAGAAGAAAUUGUUAUAAUAAUAUGUCAAAAAGGAGGAAGUUGUUAUAAAAAAUGUGCCAAAACAAACAAGAGAAAGUUAUUAUAAUAAGAGGAAAUUGUUAUAAUAACCUGUCAAAACAAAUAACGUGUCACUAAUAUUUUGUCAUAAAAUAAUAUAUUUUGUCAUAAAAUAAUAUAUUUUGUUAACAACUUCCUCUUGUUUAACUUAACAACUUCCUCUUGUUUAACUGCAUUUUUUUGCUCCAAUUUAAUAUGUUUUAUUUAUUUUAUUAAUAGUAUUUUGAUUUUUAAUUUAUUAGAUAAUCAAUAACCCAAUUGUUAACAAAAUAAUAUUAAGUAUUAAUUUAACUGCAAAAUAGGAUUGAGCUAUCAAAAUAAUAUAUCAUGUUAUUUAUUUUCACACAUCUACUCAAACAUGUUAACUUUAAUAUUUUAUUUGAUUUUAUUAUUAAAAUUUUAUAUUUUUUAAGUAUUUUUAUUAUUAUUUUUUAAUUACAUUAACAAUAUUUAAUUAUUAUUAUUUAAUUAUAUUAACAAUAUUUAGGAAAAAAAUGCAGAGUUGUUAAGAAAAUACUUGUUAUUUUAUCGGCAAAAUCUUAUGGACACGUUAUUUGUUUUGACACGUUAUUAUAACAACUUCUUAUUAUAACAAUUUCCUCCUAUUUGUUUUGGUACAUUAUUAUUAAAAUUAUUAUUCUUUUUAUUUUUAUUAUUAUUAUUAAAAUUUAUAAUAUUAUUAAAUUUAUUAUUAUUAUUAUUUAUUAAUAUAUUUUAUUAAUAGUAUUUUGAAUUUUAUAAUAUUUUAAUUAUUUAUAAAUUUAUUAAAUAAUAAUAAACAUAAUUAAUAGUAAAUAUAAUUAUUUAUAAAAUGGCAACAUAAAAAAAUAUAAUAUUUCUUUGAAUGGGACAUUUUGGUCAAAUAAAAAAAAUCAUGUAAACAUUCAUUAAUAUAAUAUUAAUCCAUCCUCCCAAAACAAUGGUACACCAAAAAAAAUGUUAUGUAUAUUAUUGGUGCGGAUUAUAAAAAUAAUUUGAGUAGGUCAAUGAAAAAACAUUAGUUACUAUAUAUAAUUUAAUUAUGAGAGAUAAACAAGGUGGACUCAAUAUGUCAUGAGAUCUAAAGCGAAAUUCUAAUAAGCAUUAUCAAAGAUAAAUAAAUUUUAAAUAUUUUAUAUAAUAAUUAUAGAAAUUUCUUUGGUUGAAAUCAUGAUAUUUUCAAAUCCAUUUUCUUAAUAUUUUUCAAAAAAAUGAAAUAAAAUAAUUCAACUACAACAACAUAAAAAUUCAUGUAAAAUUUUGGAUUUUUUAGUUGAAAAGAACAAUAGUGUGUAAGUACGAAAUACUACUUCAAGAGCUCAUGUUAACAAUGUGCUUACUAUUAUUCUCAUUAUUUCUCAAUUUAUAAUUUGAUAUUUCUCAUGGUAUCAAUGUGCUCACUUAUCUCAUGAUUUUUCAAUAAAUAGAGCAUUCAGUAAUUUACAGCAAAAACAAAAUAAAAUUCAUUUUUAUUAAAAUUUAUACAAAUUUAACAAUACUUUUUUUUUUCUUCUAUCAAUCAAUCUCUCAAAGAAAAUGUAUCAAAUAGCAAUCACCCAUAUUUUCAAUUUUACUUAACUCCUUUGCGAUUUUAAUAAAAGUCACAUCUCAACGAAAUUCAUAUUUUUUAGUUGAAUAUUUAUAUUUUAAAUUAUUUAUUCAAUUAAUAUAAUUAAUAAUGUAUAAUAUUUCUUUUAUAAUUGAUAAUAAAGUCAAUUGAUUUAACUUUUAUUGAGACAACAUUAAAUUUAUAUAAUAUUUUAUCAGUUUUAGUUUUUAAAAUAAUAAAAUGUGAAGUCUUAAUUAAAAAGAAAUUGAAGUUAACUAUAAAAUUUGUUUUUGUAAAGAGAAAAGUGAUUAACUUCUGCCAAAUAAAUUCAUCAAUUCACAAUAUAAAAUUAUAAUGAAAAAUUUUAAAAAUAAAAAACUGUAUUUAAUCAGAGCAAAAAAUAAAUUCAAAUAUAUAAAUAUUACUAUAUUAAUAUAUUAAAAAAAUUAUUAAUUUUAUUAACAAACUAAUAACAAGGAAAAAAUAUCUACUAGUAUAUUUAUCGUUACGAUAAGUUGUACGUUAUUUGAAUAAAAGAAGUCAACGUUUUUGCAUUAUGUUUUUCUAACAUUAUUUUAAACUUGAAUAUAUGUUUUAUGAAUAUUAACUUAUGCUUUUUUUUUAAUAUAUUUUAAGAUUUUAUAAAUAUUAACCUAUGGUUUUUUUAAAUACGUUUCAAGAGAUUUUAAAGUGACGGUGUUAUACAUUUAUCAUUUUCUCAACACUUUUUGUACUCGAAAAAUAUUUUAUUAAUUUAAAUUUGAAAUUUAGUGUUUUUACAUGACCAUAUUCAUAUAUUAAAGCAAAAUAAUUUUUUCUAAAUUCAUCAAUACUUCGACACAAGUAGAAAAGAAGAAAGAAAAUGAUAUCAUAGAGAUAGAUGUAAUAUAAUUAUUAGUUGGUAGUGUUAACAAAAAAAACUUGCGUAAUAUUUACUUGUUUAGAUAAAUAUAUGUUUGCCAUCAUGAUAAAACAAGUCUAUACGAAGAAAGAUUCAAUAUAGAUGUAGAAAGAAAAUUAUAAAAAAAAAUAAAUAAAUAAAACUUACUUGCUACUGUUUUAUUUUUUAAUGUUACAAUAGAAAUAGAAAAAAAAAACAUCUCAUUAAAUUUAAAUUUAAAAUAGCAUAUAUAAAAUUUGCAAACUAGAUAAAACACUUGUAAUUCACUUUAAAAUGUCUCAAUCUUCUUGAUAUAAUUCAGCUGUCCCAUUAUAUUAUUCCAUUAAUAAUCAAAAACAACCUUCCCAUCAUCUUUAGAAAACUAUUUUUAGAGGCAAAACUAAUACUCGCAUUCAAACCGCUUUGAAUCUGAAAACUAUUUAACACAUGUAGUAACACUCACAUUGAAAACACGAAAAAACACGAGGCGUAGAUAUCGAAAAAUAAAUCUAUUCUUCAAAUUUAAACUCAUUGAAUCACUAUUAACUAGUUCAUCACUUCAAUAAGGUAGAGGAUACAUCAACUUGUUGUGUAUGAUUGUUAGAGUCUUGAAUAACUUUUAAAUAUUUAUCCACAAUAGACUAACAAUUGUGUUGAGCCUCGUAAACAUCCAUCAAUCAAAUAUUAAUCCAUCAUCUCCAAAAGAGUGGUACACUAACAAAAGAAAUUGUUUUCUUCUACUUUCUAUGCAAAUGUUUCCAAUUUUACUCAAAACAUAUAUAUUUAUUUAAAUAUGUGGUGUAUUAUGAUGCAUAAAUAUGAAAAACAUUAGUUAGUGUAUAUAAUUUAAUUAUGAAAGAUAAAUAGACCCAACAUGUUAUGAGAUUUAAAGUGAAUUUUUUAAAUAUAUUUUUAAAGUUAAUAAAUAUAUCAUUAAUAUUUUAUUUAAUAACUAUAGAAAUUUCUUUGGUUGAAAUCAUGACAUUUUUAAAUCUAUUUUUUCAAUAUUUUUCAAAAAAUGGAAUAAGACAUUUCAACUAUUGUACACCAAAUAAGAACUCACGUAGAAUUUUUUAUUUUUUAGUUGAAGAGAAAUAUAGUGCGUAAUUAUGAAGUACUAUUUCAAGAGCUCGUGUUAACAAUGUGGUCACUACUAUUUUUAUGAUUUCUCAAUUUAUAAGUGAUAUUUCUCAUGUUAGCAAUGUGCUCACUUAUCUCUUGAUUUAUCAAUUUAUGACUAAUAUUUUUCCAACCCCUAUUAUCUUCAUCAGUCAACUUAUUGUAAAAUAAAAUUCAUUUUUAAUAAAAUUUGUAUCAAUUUCUACUAAUAAAUGUCUAUUGUAUCAAGAAGCAAUCACCCAUGUUGUAAAGUUUACUUGUGUAUUUAUGUACCUUAUGUUGAGACAAAAUCUCUCUUAAAUGGUUUUAAUGAUAACAAAAUUAUUUAAAAGAUUAUGAUUGUAGUUAAUGACUAAUUGAUGCUUUUGAGUGUAUUCAUAUAAGAAAAAAGUUAUUAAUCAUUAAGACAAAAAGGAGAAAAAACUGAUUUAAAUCUAGAGCAUUGGAAUUCGAGAGGAAGACCUCGUGAGAGGAUGAUUUUUCAAAUCUCCAGAAUACUCAUCCUUGUUGAAACAAAUUGUUUUAUUCAUUAAAUAAAAGCAAAACAAUAUUAAAGAAUGAAUAAAUAAUACUUUUGAAAUAAAGAAGCAAGAUGGCAAAAGAAAUGUACGAGGAAGGACUACACUAGGAUGGGUCUAUGGUCAAUAUCUUAGAAAGCAACCCAACAUCUUUGUAAGCAACCCAUCAUAUCAUGUGCAAAGGCUAAAUGUAGACCUAUAUAUCAUUCUUGUAUGAUUGAAAACAAUAUAGAGUCAAUCUUCAUAAAGGCGUCAACAAACAAGCUACAAAUAGAAGCCUUCACAUGUCUUAAAGAAAGGAAAGAGAAAAAGUCAAUCACGUGAAGCUUUUACAUGCCUUAAAGAAAAGAAAAAGAAAAGGACAUCACAUGUGGUCUUACAAGCCUUAAAGAAAGGAAAAAGAAAAGGACAUCACAUGUCCAAAGUCCUAGGUAUAUUGAACUUCGUACAGGAGGACAUACUACAUUAGUCAAAUGAAAGUUGAAUGACAAUUUUGUAAUUAUAAGGAAAGACCUUG